UCUCCAAUACUACCAGGAGGAAAAAAAUGUUCCACGAUACAGAGAUUAGCAUGGCCCCUGCACAAGGAUGACGCGCAAAUUCGUGAAGUGUUCCAUAUUUUU
Small nuclear RNA from Heterocephalus glaber (naked mole-rat), 102 nucleotides. The record is from Ensembl. Lineage: Eukaryota; Metazoa; Chordata; Mammalia; Rodentia; Bathyergidae.